This 522-nucleotide ribosomal RNA is filed under the name uncultured bacterium. RNAcentral describes it as "bacterial SSU rRNA". It matches the Rfam family "Bacterial small subunit ribosomal RNA", at positions 25 to 518 of the family's 1533-position model. The record is from RNAcentral.
CAGGACGAACGCUGGCGGCGUGCCUAAUACAUGCAAGUCGAACGGUCUUUUCUAUGGAAGCUUGCUUCCACUGAGAAGAUAGUGGCGAACGGGUGAGUAACACGUGGGUAACCUGCCCAUAAGAGGGGGGAUAACAUCCGGAAACGGGUGCUAAUACCGCAUAGUUUUCUUGAUCGCAUGAUUGGGAAAGGAAAGACGGCCUUUGUGCUGUCGCUUAUGGAUGGACCCGCGGCGUAUUAGUUAGUUGGUGAGGUAACGGCUCACCAAGACGAUGAUACGUAGCCGACCUGAGAGGGUGAUCGGCCACAUUGGGACUGAGACACGGCCCAAACUCCUACGGGAGGCAGCAGUAGGGAAUCUUCCGCAAUGGACGAAAGUCUGACGGAGCAACGCCGCGUGAGUGAAAGAAGGUUUUCGGAUCGUAAAACUCUGUUGUCAGAGAAGAACAAGUUGGAGAGUAACUGCUCCAGCCUUGACGGUAUCUGACCAGAAAGCCACGGCUAACUACGUGCCAGCCGCCGC